UUUCGAGUUUUGUGCGUCGAACCAGUCAUUAACCAGUUGAACAAAGUUGGCUGUUGCAAGGCGUAUUUAUCGGGUGGCCGCAUCAACCCAGCUGAGAGAAUUUGAUAUGUCAACUAAUUUUUGAAUUCGCCGUACAAAAAUAUAAACUUCAAAAUAAAUAAUUUAUAAAUUGUGUUUGCUACUGUUAUGGUUUAUAAACUUAGGGCAUAUAAUGGCACGCGUUUAGUAACCUCAUUCACUAUCAGUUUAACCCAGGAAACUUAGGUCUAUUGUAUCGACCCCGAAAGAUUCAAAAAGCGCAGAAGAACACUGAUAAAAUUUACAUCAGUACAAUGCCAUACAUUAAAAUGAAGAAGGUUAGGAGCCAACAUGCAUGACAAAACGGCCAGGAGGUCUGGAAAAGCUCCCACCAAUAUGCAAGAUAUAUUAGUCAAGAAUAGUGAAAGGACUUGCAUGGAGAUAAUUUAGACAGGUAAAUAGAUUUUGUGUAACUGUAAUCCCGCACCUACUCUCGCAAUUUCGGGGCAGUCUCACAAUAGGUGCUCAACUGGCUAUGACUUCGCUUCAUCCCCAUAAAUCAAGCUUAAGUCCGCCAUGUGACCAGCGCAAGGUCAAAGUCCUGACAUUGCAAUGGCUUUCCAGGAUAUUCAGUAGUGAGGGCGACAGCUCCAUCACAUCUAGAAGAGGUUUCCUGAACAUACCAAGUUACCUAGUAAACCUAAACAGCCACACACCAUGAUAACAACGCCAUCCUUGUAGCCAAAAAACUUUAACUGUCCUUUUUAAAUAACCCGAAAAUUCGACAUAUAUCCAAGAGCCAAAAAGGGAUACAAAACCCCUCCUUGUGGUGAUUGAGCUGUAAUCACAAUCUUCCUAUUUGAUCCAUUUGUUAGCAUUCACUUGGUAGCUAUCUACGGCUACAAUAACCUUAUGAAAACUAUUUUAACCUGUUAUCUUCGUGGUUUUGUAUGUUGUUGUACACACAUUUUCAAGAGGUGGCGAUCCUUGUCAGGCUCCUGUCGAUCAACGAAAAUCAAAACUAGGAAGCAAAAUCAAUUAUAGUAGCAGCAUCUAUUUAAGAUAUCGGGAAUUCGACAAGAAAUAGGAUGAGCCUUUAUUUUUACAAUUUCACGACAUAUAUUGGGUUGCCCAAAAAGUAAUUGCGGAUUUUUCAUAUAGUCGACGUUGACAAAUUUUUUCACAUCUUGUGACUCUGUAAUUGCAUUCUUUCUUCUGUCAGUUAUCAGCUGUUACUUUUAGUUUGCUUUAGAAAAAAAGUGUAAAAAAGUGACAUGAAACAAGGUGAAGACCAUAUUUGAUUGCGCAAAUUGCAAAAGGAACGUGGAAAUGAAGCCUCAAACGGAGAACUUAAGUCAAGGACUCUAAAAUCUGGUCGAGUCAUUCCUGGUUGCAGAUAUGCUGUGCUCCGAUCCCCAUUAUAUGUUUGUUAUAGUUUGUCUUAAGUACAUCUCAAUAGUAUGGGUGACUAAUCUUACCAUUACGUUCGUAAUACCUCGAAAUGUCCGUCCAUCUGUUGAAAUCAAGAAGGCGUAAAGCAACGCUUGCAAAGUUGUGUACAGAUAUUUCGUCAAUAAAAAUUGCAUACACGCAUUGUUGGUAA
Molecule: long non-coding RNA, 1621 nt
Organism: Stomoxys calcitrans (stable fly)
Lineage: Eukaryota; Metazoa; Arthropoda; Insecta; Diptera; Muscidae
Exons: 3
Source: RefSeq, a predicted model, not a curated record